RNAcentral lists this ribosomal RNA (447 nucleotides) under uncultured bacterium. RNAcentral describes it as "bacterial SSU rRNA". It matches the Rfam family "Bacterial small subunit ribosomal RNA", at positions 329 to 793 of the family's 1533-position model. The record is from RNAcentral.
UUCCAGACUCCUACGGGAGGCAGCAGUGGGGAAUAUUGCACAAUGGGGGAAACCCUGACGCAGCGACGCCGCGUGAGUGAAGAAGUAUUUCGGUAUGUAAAGCUCUAUCAGCAGGGAAGAAAAUGACGGUACCUGAUUAAGAAGCCCCGGCUAACUACGUGCCAGCAGCCGCGGUAAUACGUAGGGGGCAAGCGUUAUCCGGAUUUACUGGGUGUAAAGGGAGCGUAGACGGUGAUGCAAGUCAGAAGUGAAAGCCCGGGGCUCAACUCCGGGACUGCUUUUGAAACUGUGUGACUGGAGUGCAGGAGAGGUAAGCGGAAUUCCUGGUGUAGCGGUGAAAUGCGUAGAUAUCAGGAGGAACACCAGUGGCGAAGGCGGCUUACUGGACUGUAACUGACGUUGAGGCUCGAAAGCGUGGGGAGCAAACAGGAUUAGAUGCCCGCGUAC